GUCCACGCCCUAAACGAUGUCGACUGGUUGUUGGGGUUUGACACUCUCAGUAACGAAGCUAACGCGUGAAGUCGACCGCCUGGGGAGUACGGCCGCAAGGUUAAAACUCAAAGGAAUUGACGGGGACCCGCACAAGCGGUGGAUUAUGUGGAUUAAUUCGAUGCAACGCGAAAACCUUACCUACCCUUGACAUGUCCGAGAGGCUGAAGAGAUUCAGCUGUGCCCGAAAGGGAAUCGGAACACAGGUGCUGCAUGGCUGUCGU
This 263-nucleotide ribosomal RNA is filed under the name uncultured bacterium. RNAcentral describes it as "partial 16S ribosomal RNA". It matches the Rfam family "Bacterial small subunit ribosomal RNA", at positions 793 to 1055 of the family's 1533-position model. The record is from RNAcentral.